GAGUAAAACUAUUCGAAUAGCCGUGCCCGCGGUUAUGGGCGGGUCUAACAAUGUCUUUCGUGACUAGUCUCACACCUCUUAUAAUAGAUGAUGCUAUAACUGGUAAUAAUUUGAUUAGCUCCUGGUUUGGAAUGGUAUAUUCCUGGUUUGGAGAUAGAACUGUGCAGCCGGGAUGGUUGUUCAGAAUGGUUGGGCCUAUGC
This 201-nucleotide unclassified non-coding RNA is filed under the name Oryza sativa (Asian cultivated rice). RNAcentral's name for it is "partial microRNA MIR470a-3 precursor". The record is from RNAcentral. Lineage: Eukaryota; Viridiplantae; Streptophyta; Magnoliopsida; Poales; Poaceae.